UUGCUUUGGCAACUGUGGGAUUCCCAGUUUCUUUGUUGUUAGGGUGGCAGAAGGGGAGUGUUGUCACCCUGAGUGUGGAUGAGGAACUGUGAAACUGCUUUAUGACAGGGAAUCUCACCACGAAUUGAGUGGCACUCGCUAGACAAGGGAGUGGGCUCCUUGGGUGAGCCAGAAACUCUGAUUGCACCUGCUUUUCUUUCCAGUCUUGAAUAGCAGAGCUCAUUUAUGGAUUCUGACCUGAGCUGUUUUAAGUAGUGGGGGAGCCUGAAGCUAUAUUGCAGAGCAGAGCGGAGCAGUUUGUGGGACCGCUGGUGGAGCAGAGUUUCCAGAGGAAUUGUCCAGGAGCUGGAGCCGGAGGAGAAACUGGAAGAAGUGAACCUGAGCAGCCUGGAUAUCCUUGUAAGCAGAGAUGAAGAGUCCUCAGCUUUCUGCCUUCUCCAUGACUGGCUGUGAGUGAACAAUUAUGGCCUCUAUCCCUCAUCCGUACCACUCAAGUUUUCUUCAGAGGCCGUGAGCCUCCUUGUUGGCCAUGGGGCUCUGUGGGAUUACGACCAAGGGAAGGGACAACAGUCUCCUCUGCUCAGUGACUGUCUUGGAUGCAGGUGCAACAGGCUGCUUAACAUAUGAACUACCACGGAGAA
Mauremys mutica (yellowpond turtle) is the source of this 641-nucleotide long non-coding RNA. RefSeq lists it as uncharacterized. The record is from RefSeq and is a predicted model, not a curated record. The transcript is spliced from 3 exons. NCBI's taxonomy places the organism in Eukaryota, Metazoa, Chordata, Testudines, Geoemydidae.